This 576-nucleotide ribosomal RNA is filed under the name uncultured bacterium. Its description in RNAcentral is "partial 16S ribosomal RNA". It matches the Rfam family "Bacterial small subunit ribosomal RNA", at positions 355 to 920 of the family's 1533-position model. The record is from RNAcentral.
UGGGGAAUAUUGCACAAUGGGCGCAAGCCUGAUGCAGCCAUGCCGCGUGUGUGAAGAAGGCCUUCGGGUUGUAAAGCACUUUCAGCGAGGAGGAAGGUGGUGAGCUUAAUACGCUCAUCAAUUGACGUUACUCGCAGAAGAAGCACCGGCUAACUCCGUGCCAGCAGCCGCGGUAAUACGGAGGGUGCAAGCGUUAAUCGGAAUUACUGGGCGUAAAGCGCACGCAGGCGGUUUGUUAAGUCAGAUGUGAAAUCCCCGGGCUCAACCUGGGAACUGCAUUUGAAACUGGCAAGCUAGAGUCUCGUAGAGGGGGGUAGAAUUCCAGGUGUAGCGGUGAAAUGCGUAGAGAUCUGGAGGAAUACCGGUGGCGAAGGCGGCCCCCCUGGACGAAGACUGACGCUCAGGUGCGAAAGCGUGGGGCAGCAAACAGGAUUAGAUACCCUGGUAGUCCACGCUGUAAACGAUGUCNAUUUGGAGGUUGUGCCCCUUGAGGCGUGGCUUCCGGAGCUAACGCGUUAAAUCGACCGCCUGGGGAGUACGGCCGCAAGGUUAAAACUCAAAGGAAUUGACGGGGUC